Molecule: ribosomal RNA, 386 nt
Filed under: Pelophylax nigromaculatus (dark-spotted frog)
Lineage: Eukaryota; Metazoa; Chordata; Amphibia; Anura; Ranidae
Description: partial 12S ribosomal RNA
Rfam family: Bacterial small subunit ribosomal RNA
Source: RNAcentral
GCCUAGCCGUAAACAAUUAACUCACACCAACCAACGCCAGGGAAUUACGAGCUAUGCUUAAAACCCAAAGGACUUGACGGUGUCCCACCCACCUAGAGGAGCCUUUUCUAUAAUCGAUGAUCCCCGAUACACCUAACCAUUCCUCGCCCAUCAGUCUGUAUACCUCCGUCGAAAGCCUACCAUGUGAACGCUUACAGUAGGCCCAAUGAUCCCCAUCAACACGUCAGGUCAAGGUGCAGCUUACGGAAUGGAAAGCAAUGGGCUACAAUUUCUAGUUUAGAACAAACGAAAGACUCUGUGAAACCCUAGUCAUGAAGGCGGAUUUAGUAGUAAAAGGAAAAUAGAGUGUUCCUUUUAACCUGGCUCUGGGACGCGUACACACCGCC